Molecule: small nucleolar RNA, 133 nt
Filed under: Otolemur garnettii (small-eared galago)
Lineage: Eukaryota; Metazoa; Chordata; Mammalia; Primates; Galagidae
Description: Small nucleolar RNA SNORA25 (ENSOGAG00000025491.1)
Source: RNAcentral
AGGUCAUUUCAAAGGGAGCAAGUGGGGCUGUGAAACCCAGAGCUCUUCACACUGUGACCCAAGACUGCAGUUCCCUAUACAGAGGACGUGAUCACCCCUCAAUAGCGCUGCGUUUUCCUGAGGAAGUAUAAGG